RNAcentral lists this transfer RNA (64 nucleotides) under Paragavialidium hainanense. RNAcentral describes it as "tRNA-Asn". The record is from RNAcentral. Lineage: Eukaryota; Metazoa; Arthropoda; Insecta; Orthoptera; Tetrigidae.
UUAGGUGAAGCCAAAAAGAGGCAUAUUAUUGUUAAUAAUGUAAUUGGAUUUUAUCCCAACUAAA